Molecule: small nucleolar RNA, 105 nt
Organism: Macaca fascicularis (crab-eating macaque)
Lineage: Eukaryota; Metazoa; Chordata; Mammalia; Primates; Cercopithecidae
Source: Ensembl
AUCCUUUUGUAGUUCACAAGCCUGAUGAUUGGGUUUCAUGCACUUGGAUGAGAUGCACCUCCCUCAAACCUGGUGUUACAACAUAGGCACAUUAUUUGUCUGACA